This 254-nucleotide ribosomal RNA is filed under the name uncultured bacterium. RNAcentral describes it as "partial 16S ribosomal RNA". It matches the Rfam family "Bacterial small subunit ribosomal RNA", at positions 524 to 777 of the family's 1533-position model. The record is from RNAcentral.
UACGUAGGGUGCAAGCGUUGUCCGGAAUUAUUGGGCGUAAAGAGCUUGUAGGCGGUUUGUCGCGUCUGCUGUGAAAUUUCGGGGCUCAACCCCGAACUUGCAGUGGGUACGGGCAGACUAGAGUGUGGUAGGGGCAAGCGGAAUUCCUGGUGUAGCGGUGAAAUGCGUAGAUAUCGGGAGGAACACCAGUGGCGAAGGCGACUACCUGGCCUGUUCUUGACGCUGAGGCGCGAAAGCUAGGGGAGCAAACGGGG